Molecule: ribosomal RNA, 422 nt
Filed under: uncultured cyanobacterium
Lineage: Bacteria; Bacillati; Cyanobacteriota
Description: bacterial SSU rRNA
Rfam family: Bacterial small subunit ribosomal RNA
Source: RNAcentral
GAAUUUUCCGCAAUGGGCGAAAGCCUGACGGAGCAAUACCGCGUGAGGGAUGAAGGCCUAUGGGUUGUAAACCUCUUUUAUCAGGGAGGAAUCAAUGACGUGUACCUGAAGAAUAAGCAUCGGCUAACUCCGUGCCAGCAGCCGCGGUAAGACGGAGGAUGCAAGUGUUAUCCGGAAUCACUGGGCGUAAAGCGUCUGUAGGUGGUUUGAUAAGUCAACUGUUAAAUCUUGAGGCUCAACCUCGAAAUCGCAGUCGAAACUAUUAAACUAGAGUAUAGUAGGGGUAAAGGGAAUUUCCAGUGGAGCGGUGAAAUGCGUAGAGAUUGGAAGGAACACCGAUGGCGAAGGCACUUUACUGGGCUAUUACUAACACUCAGAGACGAAAGCUAGGGUAGCAAAUGGGAUUAGAUACCCCAGUAGUC